AGAGUUUGAUCCUGGCUCAGAUUGAACGCUGGCGGCAUGCCUUACACAUGCAAGUCGAACGGCAGCACGGGAGCAAUCCUGGUGGCGAGUGGCGAACGGGCGAGUAAUAUAUCGGAACGUGCCCAGUCGUGGGGGAUAACGUAGAGAAAUUUACGCUAAUACCGCAUACGAUCUAAGGAUGAAAGCGGGGGACUCGCAAGGGCCUCGCGCGAUUGGAGCGGCUGAUAUCAGAUUAGGUUGUUGGUGAGGUAAAAGCUCACCAAGCCGACGAUCUGUAGCUGGUUUGAGAGAACGACCAGCCACACUGGGACUGAGACACGGCCCAGACUCCUACGGGAGGCAGCAGUGGGGAAUUUUGGACAAUGGGCG
This 369-nucleotide ribosomal RNA is filed under the name uncultured bacterium. Its description in RNAcentral is "bacterial SSU rRNA". It matches the Rfam family "Bacterial small subunit ribosomal RNA", at positions 8 to 377 of the family's 1533-position model. The record is from RNAcentral.